CAAUAUUACUGUGACAUGAAGAACAAUCAAAUGGAUGAUUCCAAAGGAAACUGGGAAGAUCUCUCUGAAAUAUGUAGAGAAAAGUGAAUAGAACUAGAACAAUUUCUAUGUGAUCACAGCAUCAUUGGAAAAACAACUUCUAAAGACUUUAGAACUCUGAGCAAUUCGAUGAUAGACCAAGAAUCCAAAAGAAUGGACAUGAAACAUAUCACUCACCUUCUGUCAGAAUGGUGGUGAAGUCAAAAUGCAGAACCCAGCACAAGUUGCCUCAUUCCUUUACUCACUCAAAAAACAUUCAUCCAUCCAUCCAUCCAUCCAUCCAUCCAUUCAUUCAUUUAUCUGUUUGCUUAAAACCCUCAAUUUCCAUCUUAGAAUCAAUACUGAGAAUUGGUUCCAAGGCAGAAGGGCAGGAAGAGCUAGGCAAAUUGGGUUAAGUGACUUGUACAGGAUCACACAGCAAGGAAGUGUCUGAGGUCAGAUUUGAACCCAAGUCUUUUCAAUUCUAGGCUUGGCUUUCUAUCCCCUGAGUCACCUAGCUGCCCCUUAACAAAUAUUUAUUAAAUACCAGCUAGAUAGAGGGUGGUGAAACUAAGUGGUGUAGAGUGCCAGAACUGGGGGACAGAAAGCCUUUUCUACAUUCAAAUCUGGCCUCAGACUCUCUGUAAUCCUGGGGUAAUCACUUAACCCUGGUUGCUUCCAUUUCCUCACCUGGAAAAUGAGCUAAAGAAGGAAAUGGCAAACCCCUCCAAUACCUUUUACUAAGAAAAGCCCAAAUGGGGUCACCAAGUCAGACACAUUGGAAGACAAAACCAAACCCCAAGACUACCUGUAUAGGAUUCACUGGGGAAGAUACAAGGUUCACAGUGCCCCUGUUCCUAGCAAUCAUGGAGCCCUCAGUCUAGCAGGGAAAAAAAAAACAACCUGACUGCUCACACUUGAUUUUUAGUGAGUGUGGCAGCUGUUUAGACCUGGGAUUUCAUCAGUGUGGGGCACUGCCUAGGUAGAAACGUCCUCUGGGAAGGCAGGCAGUUAAAUCCUCCUUAAUUUACAGUCUUAGAGAGUUGUCUGGGGAUGCUGUGAGGUUGUGGAUUGUGUGUGUCCAGAGAGAAUGUGUGUGAGAGGUGGAACCUGAAAGCUGGGACUUCCUGACUUCAAAGCUGGAACUCUGUCCAUUGCUUCAAGCAGUCUUUAGGAGAGACAUGGCUUCAUUAUUCCUGGCUAUUGAAAACAUGGGUCUCCAGCUACAGUCUUCUACACACGGGAGUGGGUUUUGUCUUAGAAUAAUGGACUCCAACAACCAAUAGGGACCUCAGUGGGCAUCCAUUCAAACUUUUACCUCAGUAGGAAUUCCCUCUGUUUUUUAAGCCCUUAUUUUUCAUCU
RNAcentral lists this long non-coding RNA (1381 nucleotides) under Monodelphis domestica (gray short-tailed opossum). RNAcentral describes it as "lncRNA (ENSMODG00000038189.1)". The record is from RNAcentral. Lineage: Eukaryota; Metazoa; Chordata; Mammalia; Didelphimorphia; Didelphidae.